GGAAUAUUGGACAAUGGGCGCAAGCCUGAUCCAGCCAUGCCGCGUGUGUGAAGAAGGCCUUCGGGUUGUAAAGCACUUUCAGCGGGGAGGAAGAGUGUUUUGUUAAUAGCACAGCAUUUUGACGUUACCAGCCACAGAAGCACCGGCUAACUCAGUGCCAGCCGCCGCGGUAAUACGGAGGGUGCGAGCGUUAAUCGGAAUUACUGGGCGUAAAGCGCACGUAGGCGGUAUGUUAAGUUGGAUGUGAAAGCCCCGGGCUCAACCUGGGAAUUGCAUUCAAAACUGGCAUGCUAGAGUAUGUGAGAGGGGGGUAGAAUUCCAAGUGUAGCGGUGAAAUGCGUAGAGAUUUGGAGGAAUACCAGUGGCGAAGGCGGCCCCCUGGCACAAUACUGACGCUCAGGUGCGAAAGCGUGGGGAGCAAAC
This 423-nucleotide ribosomal RNA is filed under the name uncultured bacterium. RNAcentral describes it as "bacterial SSU rRNA". It matches the Rfam family "Bacterial small subunit ribosomal RNA", at positions 358 to 773 of the family's 1533-position model. The record is from RNAcentral.